UACGUAGGGUCCGAGCGUUGUCCGGAAUUACUGGGCGUAAAGAGCUCGUAGGUGGUUUGUCGCGUUGUUCGUGAAAACUCACAGCUCAACUGUGGGCGUGCGGGCGAUACGGGCAGACUGGAGUACUGCAGGGGAGACUGGAAUUCCUGGUGUAGCGGUGGAAUGCGCAGAUAUCAGGAGGAACACCGAUGGCGAAGGCAGUUCUCUGGGCCGUAACUGACGCUGAGGAGCGAAAGCGUGGGGAGCGAACAGG
Molecule: ribosomal RNA, 253 nt
Filed under: uncultured bacterium
Lineage: Bacteria
Description: partial 16S ribosomal RNA
Rfam family: Bacterial small subunit ribosomal RNA
Source: RNAcentral